UAUGAUAAAAUAAAAUGUCCACAUGUUC
This 28-nucleotide small RNA is filed under the name Bombyx mori (domestic silkworm). Its description in RNAcentral is "ovarian small RNA-6636". Lineage: Eukaryota; Metazoa; Arthropoda; Insecta; Lepidoptera; Bombycidae. The record is from RNAcentral.